CCGUGAGGGAAAGUUGAAAUAGAACUUUGCAGAGAGAGUUAAGAGGGCGUGAAACCGUUAAUUGGCAAACGAAUCGGAGCCACGAAGUCGUUUCGUUGAUAAGUUGGGCCAAGUUCCAGUUCCGAGGUGUAAAAGCUUCGGGACCUCACUCUUGUUAGUCCGACCAUCAUUGUAAGCGUACACUGCAACCAGUUAGACGAUUGACGAUGGGCWUAUGUAUGUAUGGGGAGCAAUCUUUGUAUAUGCGAAGCAUUUGUUUAUAUCAGCUAGUAGUAGUGCUGUAGAUUUCGGUUUAUAGUGCUGCUGGGUUGAUGUAAGAGAACUAUCGACAAAUACUGACUGGCGAAUUGAAAAUCGCGUGAACUCGCGUAACAUAGAAAGCAGCUAGUAGCAUCUGUGUCUACAUGCUUGACGAUGGGGUUUUAAGCUCAGCAUUUUUGAAUUUGGACUUGCUGGCUACCAAUGGGGCAACUCUUGGUGCCAGUAUAGAUUCAUCUAAUCGGGUGUUGACUUGACUUCAUGUUGUUUGAGUAUGGAACGAUAGGAUGUGGAUGCAAAUUAGUUGGCUAGAAUUGGCAGUGAGUAGGUCGGCUUUCCGAAC
RNAcentral lists this ribosomal RNA (601 nucleotides) under Floracarus perrepae. RNAcentral describes it as "partial 28S ribosomal RNA". Lineage: Eukaryota; Metazoa; Arthropoda; Arachnida; Trombidiformes; Eriophyidae. The record is from RNAcentral.